Molecule: ribosomal RNA, 950 nt
Filed under: uncultured bacterium
Lineage: Bacteria
Description: bacterial SSU rRNA
Rfam family: Bacterial small subunit ribosomal RNA
Source: RNAcentral
GGAANNGGCGGAUGCUUUAACAUGCAGUCGAACGGCAGCACGGACUUCGGUCUGGUGGCGAGUGGCGAACGGGUGAGUAACAUAUCGGAACGUAUCCAAUAAUGGGGGAUAACGAGUCGAAAGAUUCGCUAAUACCGCAUACGCCCUACGGGGGAAAGCUGGGGACCUUCGGGCCUGGCGUUAAUGGAGCGGCCGAUAUCUGAUUAGCUAGUUGGUGAGGUAAAGGCUCACCAAGGCGACGAUCAGUAGCUGGUCUGAGAGGACGACCAGCCACACUGGAACUGAGACACGGUCCAGACUCCUACGGGAGGCAGCAGUGGGGAAUUUUGGACAAUGGGCGCAAGCCUGAUCCAGCCAUUCCGCGUGAGUGAAGAAGGCCUUCGGGUUGUAAAGCUCUUUCGCAAGGGAAGAAAACUUAGCCACUAACAUUGGCUGAGGUUGACGGUACCUUGAUAAGAAGCACCGGCUAACUACGUGCCAGCAGCCGCGGUAAUACGUAGGGUGCGAGCGUUAAUCGGAAUUACUGGGCGUAAAGCGUGCGCAGGCGGCUUUGUAAGUCAGAUGUGAAAUCCCCGAGCUCAACUUGGGAACUGCGUUUGAAACUACAAGGCUAGAAUAUGUCAGAGGGGGGUAGAAUUCCACGUGUAGCAGUGAAAUGCGUAGAGAUGUGGAGGAAUACCAAUGGCGAAGGCAGCCCCCUGGGAUAAUAUUGACGCUCAUGCACGAAAGCGUGGGGAGCAAACAGGAUUAGAUACCCUGGUAGUCCACGCCCUAAACGAUGUCUACUAGUUGUUGGUGGAGUAAAAUCCAUGAGUAACGCAGCUAACGCGUGAAGUAGACCGCCUGGGGAGUACGGUCGCAAGAUUAAAACUCAAAUGAAUUGACGGGGGCCCGCACAAGCGGUGGAUUAUGUGGAUUAAUUCGAUGCAACGCGAAAACCUUACCUGGCC